Molecule: ribosomal RNA, 253 nt
Filed under: uncultured bacterium
Lineage: Bacteria
Description: partial 16S ribosomal RNA
Rfam family: Bacterial small subunit ribosomal RNA
Source: RNAcentral
UACGUAGGGGGCGAGCGUUGUCCGGAUUCAUUGGGCGUAAAGCGCGCGUAGGCGGCUUUGCAAGUCGGCCGUGAAAUCUCCGGGCUCAACUCGGAGGGGUCGGGCGAGACUGCGAGGCUCGAGGUGGGCAGAGGGCAGUGGAAUUCCGGGUGUAGUGGUGGAAUGCGUAGAGAUCCGGAGGAACACCAGUGGCGAAGGCGGCUGCCUGGGCCUGGCCUGACGCUGAGGCGCGAAAGCGUGGGGAGCGAUCCGG